Molecule: long non-coding RNA, 2874 nt
Organism: Pieris napi
Lineage: Eukaryota; Metazoa; Arthropoda; Insecta; Lepidoptera; Pieridae
Exons: 2
Source: RefSeq, a predicted model, not a curated record
AAAUUCUCUGGAAAAUGGCAGGUGAUGUUUUCAAUCCAAAUGGUAGGCAAGUCCAUUGAUAAUGUCCAUCCUGUGUGACAAAUCCUGUCUUUUGUCUGUCCUCAAUACGUAGUGGUAUAGACCAAAACGCGGAAUUUAUGUCCAGUGUGGUAAAAUAUUUACAAUUUCUUGCUUUAACAAUCAAGUCGCUUAUCAAUGGAAAUGGUUGUGCUUGUGGUAUGACUAUCUUGUUUAGUUCAUGAAAAUCAAUAGAGUCUCGAUUUUGUAUUUUCGUCUCUUUUAAAUGCCAAGGUAACUGGUGCUGCGAAUGGGCUGUAUGAUUCCUCAAUUAAGUUAUUUUUUAGUACCCACCUGUCUUUCUAUUUCUAUUUUGUCUUCUAAUGUGCGAUAUGGUCUUUUGCUACAGUACUUGUCCACCAUUAAGUCUAUCCGGGCUUCAUAAUCUGUUACUGUACCUACAUCAUAUUUUUCUUUGGCAAAUAUAGUAUUAUAAUUCUCUAUUAAAUUGUGUAUUCGGGACUUUUUGAUAUUGUCCAAGUGAUGUAGAUUUGUUAUGAAGUCAUUUUUAUUCACAUGCUCGUUAAAAUUGACUUUAAUUUCCUCUAUCUCUUCAAAUGCAUUCAUAGUAUUUAUCUCCCUCUUUGACUUUUGUAAAAUUUUUAAAUCUUCAUUUUGAGCUAAUUUAAAUUUUUUUAUCAUAUCUAGUCCUAUAAUGAAAUCUUCAAAAUCCAGUUUGCCUACAAUAAAAACAUCAACAUAUUCUUCUAUAUCAAAAAUCUUUACUUUUAUUCUUAUUAAACCUUUUGUGUAUGUCACACCAUUGACAGUUCUUAAUAAUAUUCUAUUUGUAUCCGCAGAAUCAUUCUGUGUUCUAACUAACCUUUUGUUUAUCAGAGACACUUGUGAGCCUGAAUCAUAUGUUCCAUUUAUUUGUAUUUUGUCUUCUAAUAACAUAUUUAUUUUUAUCAAUGGUGUGAUUACUCGUUUUUUGUCUCUUCGCUUAGAUUUACUUCUAUAACCGAAUUACUUCCAAUCCUUUUGUUAUCUGCCCCUUCUUUUUUAAACCAACAAGACUGUUCUGGGUGGUAUCGAUUACCCUUAUUUAAAUACUGACAGGUUUUGCAUGGUUUUUUUCCUAAACUGUAUUUCUUAUUGUCAUCUUUUUCUUCCUUUUUUAUUUUGAAGUUUUUAUUAUUUACCAAACUUUCACAUUUACUUAUUUCAUGAAGCAAUCUUGUUGAGGUUUCACACUUUUCAGGAUCAAUUCUGUUUCUAAUAAAUUCAGGUAAGCCGGCUGCUAUAAGUGUGACCAGACUUUUAACGCCAAUAUUUUCAUUCAUAUCUAAUAAUAACUAUUCUUUUCUAAUGGCGUAUUCCAUCAGUGAUCCUUCUUUAUAUUUGUAAAAUAUGGCAUACAUUCCCGAACUCCAUCCUUUAUCGGCAAAUGUGUCCAAAAAUUUAUUUUUCCACUCGGACCAUCCAGCCUCGAUUUUCAAAGUCUUCAAUGUUGCCGAGUGCCAAUCUGCACAUGUUUUGUCCAAAAAUAAUCUUAAUAUUUCUAUCUUUGUUGUAUCUUCCUCAAUCUCAAAUCGUUUACAUUCAUUCUCGAAUAUUUCUAUCCAUUGUUUCGCAUUUGAGAAUUUACAUACAAAUUUCUCAAUCAUGAAUCUUUCUGAUAUAUUUUUCAAAUUUAGUAGACCCUUUUUCUUCUAUGUGGAUUCUACAAUAUCUGUUUGUUUUUUUUCUUCUUUUAAAUAUAGGUCGUUAAACAUUAAAUUAUUAUCUUCAUCAAAAUAGGCUUGAAUCAUUUCUUCUGUACAUGUCAUCCAUAUUGUUCUUUCUUGACCUCUUUGAUUUAAAUUUUUUCUCACUCUUUUGUAGGUUUCUGUUUUUGUUAGUGCUAUGUGACGACUCGCGUAUUUAUCAGUCUCAGACAGUGUAUACUUUUUGUCAUCUUCUGUUGUAAUUGAGGUUAUGGCAAUUACACUCGUCUUAUUGUCAGUUUGUGAUGCUUCCAGCUUAAAUGCAAACUGCAAUUUUUGUGCCAUUAUAAACAAGUAUUGUCGUUUUAUAACUUAUAAGACAAUAGUUUGUAUUUCAAUUGCAAGAGGCUAAAUAAAACUUCUAUUUGUUUCUCUGUAAGAAAAGAAUGCAAUUUUAUUUAUCGAGUAGGUUACACACUGAUACAAUCCGUACAAGACUAACACAAUCUCACCUGUAAGUAAAGAAACGACAAUAAAAGUUUAUUGUUAUCACCACUCGAUGCAUAUAGCUUAACUAAGUAUGAAAUUAAUUAACAAAUAAGAUUAAAAUACAAUUCAACGAUCUCAGCAUAUUCGUCCUUUACAUCUUUGACAAUGGCAGCUAGCUUGACGUGACACGACGCGGCUCACUCACGAACUAGCAGUGCGCGCGAAUAUUCAAAUUAAAGAGAUCAUUCUCUUUACAUAUGUAUAUAAGAUUAUAUUUCUUUUUAUAUGGAAUUCUUCCAAAGUCUGUUAUAAUCUAAUGCUUGCUCAAUUGAAGCAAGCGGUCUAGCCAAAUUCUUGGAUUUCAUCUCUAUAAAAUAUGAUAGCGAAAAGUAAUAAUAUCUACCUUUUGUAAUAAAAAUCUUUUUAAUAUAGGUAUACCUAUUGGUAUCUAUGACACAAAAUUUAUCAUUAUACAUUGCCAAUGAAUGCAAUGCUUGGUUAAGAAUAUACCUUGUGUCAUUUUCUUCCUUAGGAGAAACUCUCUUACUCAACUAGGCUUUUAAUGUACUUAUAAAAAUUUAGAAUGUGGUAUGCGCCUAUAAUUGGGGUAGCACUUGGCUUGUGUUUGUGUUACAUUACUUGUAUUAGUGUCUACUUUGUUGGUGCAUAAAAUAAAUAAAUA